Molecule: unclassified non-coding RNA, 240 nt
Filed under: soil metagenome
Description: partial contains 5.8S ribosomal RNA, internal transcribed spacer 2, and large subunit ribosomal RNA
Source: RNAcentral
AACUGAUACUACCUGCGGGAACCUGCGGAAGGAUCAUUCAAGUAAUUUUACUUAUAACAAGGAGUGUAAAGGGUGUCUGUAUGACACCCGAAACACAACUUUUCACCCCUAACUAACAAAAAGGUGUGUAAAGGAAACGGAGGUGUGGUGUGUAAUUAACACAUCACUCUGUUUUCCUUGCACCAUGAUCUAAUGGCUGAUUUGUAACGCAGCAGUGGUGGUCUUGUAUGUGGGAAUGUG